GUAGAUAUCUACAAACAUGGAGCCUAUACACCUCUGCUUAGCUGGACUUUGGGAAGGAUAAAGGACAAGUACUCAGCGCCACCGUAGUGAUGAUUGUGGCCACAAAUCUGCAGUAUGACCCGUCCUGUCCUUGAAAAUGACGAUGUCUCUUAGUACCCAGAAAAAUCGAUAUCCUGGGAGAACUGGACUAAAGCCUGGUGCACAAAGAUAUUUUUCAAAAAGUUGGAGAAUCCCACAGGGCAAAAAGGGAGGAUCAGUGCCUUUUAUUAUUAUGUUAUGCACUCCCUGGCAUCCUCAUUGUAUGCAGAUUCCUGGGCGUGAGUUGAUUUAGUCAUUGUGAGUGAUAACUGGCAGCAUCAGACAACUUUAAUGUGCAUGUGGUUAAAGCCGUAUGAUGGCGGUUCAACAGCAGAACAUUGGCAGCACAUUUCUACAUUGUGUAUUGUGCUCUCUGCUCAUCCCGGUUGCUGUAAUUGUUAUAGACAUCAAGGAUCUCAGUUUCUUCCAGGAUCAUUCGGAUUUGGACCAAACAAAUUUGGGGAUGAUAUCCGAAAAUACCAGGACAGAAUUAUCCAUUACUUUCUGCAGGUCGGUCUUCUCGUUGUGUUGUGACUGUUUAUUGAAAAGUUUAAUUAAAGAAGAAUAUAACGUUACGGAGCUGGAAGGCAUCACGUUUGAAUUAACCAAGUUGGAAGUUACCAUUGUUUGUCUUGCAAUCCUGUUUCAUGAAUAAGAUUCCUUGUUAAGGAAUAUUUGAGUUAAAAAUUCAUCCAUCUUGCAGUGGCAAAUACAAUGUUGUUUUGAACCAGUGGAGAAUUUCAAUAAGUUGAAAGUUUUUUCUUGGUCCAAUUGUACAAUAAUUGUCACGGUAGAGUCAAAGGAAAAAGGAUGGUAAAUAAAUAUCUCUU
Bufo gargarizans (Asiatic toad) is the source of this 908-nucleotide long non-coding RNA. RefSeq lists it as uncharacterized. The record is from RefSeq and is a predicted model, not a curated record. The transcript is spliced from 4 exons. NCBI's taxonomy places the organism in Eukaryota, Metazoa, Chordata, Amphibia, Anura, Bufonidae.